This 526-nucleotide long non-coding RNA is filed under the name Homo sapiens (human). RNAcentral describes it as "HSALNT0018264". Lineage: Eukaryota; Metazoa; Chordata; Mammalia; Primates; Hominidae. The record is from RNAcentral.
AAGACACCUUUGUACAAAGUGGUACUUCAUUCCAGACAACCAUGGCAGCUGUGCCCUCAGCCCCUUAACAGUCUCAGGCAGCUCACUGUGGAGCGUCCAGCCAGGCUGUUGGAAAUGAAACUCAGAGCAGCACUGCUCUAGGCAGGUCACAGGCCAGGAUCCAGAGGCCUGUUGCAGAGUGGCUGAUAAGGUCUUAACCCUGCUGGAGUUUGUGAAGGGCUCAGCCAGUACGCCUCACUUGGAUCAAACUUCCAUACACGAAGCACAGCCUGCCCAAGAAUGCAUCACGUUAUGUAUGGCAGAGAGACCAGGAAAGCCGCAUGCUCAGUCCCCACUGGAAAAUGGGCAGCCUGGAUUAUAAGGGUCACAAGAAUUUCCAGUUGUAGCAGGAAGCCCAGCAAGCAGACUGGGUCUCCAUCAGGGUUCAAUCAGGACAGAGCUGAUGUGCAGCAAGUGGGGAGAUUGGUCUUGAUCAUGUAAAAUAAUAAUUCCUCCAUGUAGUCUUCUAUUCUUCUGUCAAAUUCAG